GAUGAAGAACGUAGCGAAAUGCGAUAAGUAAUGCGAAUUGCAGAAUUCAGUGAAUCAUCGAAUCUUUGAACGCACAUUGCGCCCGCCAGUAUUCUGGCGGGCAUGCCUGUCUGAGCGUCGUUUCGACCCUCGCGCCCGGCUUCUGUCGGGGGCGGUGUUGGGGAUCGGCCACACCCUUCAGUGGGAGGCCGGCCCCUAAAUUCAGUGGCGACCACGCUGUAGCCUCCCCUGCGUAGUACUAAAACCACCUCCCAGGCGGAGAGCGGUGCGGCCCGCCGUAAAACCCCCCAACUUUUACAAGGUCGACCUCAGAUCAGGUAGGAAUACCCGCUGAACUUAAGCAUAUCAAUAAGCGGAGGA
RNAcentral lists this unclassified non-coding RNA (360 nucleotides) under soil metagenome. RNAcentral's name for it is "partial contains 5.8S ribosomal RNA, internal transcribed spacer 2, and large subunit ribosomal RNA". The stretch from base 1 to 120 matches the Rfam family "5.8S ribosomal RNA", at positions 35 to 154 of the family's 154-position model. The record is from RNAcentral.